Long non-coding RNA from Brassica napus (rape), 589 nucleotides. RefSeq lists it as uncharacterized. NCBI's taxonomy places the organism in Eukaryota, Viridiplantae, Streptophyta, Magnoliopsida, Brassicales, Brassicaceae. The transcript has 2 exons. The record is from RefSeq and is a predicted model, not a curated record.
UACUAGUGUUUUAAACUAUAUACCAAGUCAUUGUACCAACACAUGCAAUUAGCAUCCUAUGUCUUUUUGUUUCUGUCAUUUAUUAGUUUUGUAGGACACAAAAGACCACGACGUUGAUGAUUACCAGGUUAUAAGUCAUGUCAUGAUCUUAUCUUUGGAGGAAAGAUCAAGACAGACCAGUGGCGGGGGAGGACAACGUAAAAGACAAAGGAGACAUGGAGUGAAGUGUACUGUGAAGUCUGUGAGUGCCAUUGGAGGGGUCAGGGGGGACCGAAAUGAUGAAAAAAUUGUUACUAUGCCCCUGACAAUGGAGCCUGCCUUCAGCACUCAGAACCCAAAUCACCGUAUUAUCUACAUCCCACUCUUUCUUUCUUUCUUGAAUUGUCUUGUAACCACCAGUGGCGGAGGUAUGAUCCAAAUCUAUGUGGGUCAAAACUAUGUAUAAAUAUAAAAUAUUGGAGGUUUCAUAAUUAACAAGGAGGUCAAAUUGCUAAAAGUAGACCAAUAAUGUUUGUCAAUUAUUAGUUUUGUAGGACACAAAGACCACGACGUUGAUGAUUAUGUGACUUUUACUUUUAUGGUAACUAUA